RNAcentral lists this ribosomal RNA (252 nucleotides) under uncultured bacterium. RNAcentral describes it as "partial 16S ribosomal RNA". It matches the Rfam family "Bacterial small subunit ribosomal RNA", at positions 524 to 776 of the family's 1533-position model. The record is from RNAcentral.
UACGUAGGGUGCAAGCGUUGUCCGGAAUUAUUGGGCGUAAAGAGCUCGUAGGCGGUUUGUCGCGUCUGCUGUGAAAACCCGAGGCUCAACCUCGGCCUGCAGUGGGUACGGGCAGACUAGAGUGCGGUAGGGGAGAUUGGAAUUCCUGGUGUAGCGGUGGAAUGCGCAGAUAUCAGGAGGAACACCAAUGGCGAAGGCAGAUCUCUGGGCCGUAACUGACGCUGAGGAGCGAAAGCAUGGGGAGCGAACAGG